Molecule: small nuclear RNA, 191 nt
Organism: Echinops telfairi (small Madagascar hedgehog)
Lineage: Eukaryota; Metazoa; Chordata; Mammalia; Afrosoricida; Tenrecidae
Gene: U2
Rfam family: U2 spliceosomal RNA
About the family: U2 is a small nuclear RNA (snRNA) component of the spliceosome (involved in pre-mRNA splicing). Complementary binding between U2 snRNA (in an area lying towards the 5' end but 3' to hairpin I) and the branchpoint sequence (BPS) of the intron results the bulging out of an unpaired adenosine, on the BPS, which initiates a nucleophilic attack at the intronic 5' splice site, thus starting the first of two transesterification reactions that mediate splicing.
Source: Ensembl
AUCGCUUCUCGGCCUUUUGGCUAAGAUCAAGUGUAGUAUCUGUUCUUAUCAGUUUAAUAUCUGAUACGUCCUCUAUCCGAGGACAAUAUAUCAAAUGGAUUUUUGGAGUAGGGAGAUGGAAUUGGAGCUUGCUCCAUCCACUCCACGCAUCGACCUGGCAUUGCAGUACUUCCAGGAACGGUGCACCCCCU